AGUCGAGCGGUAGCACAGAGAGCUUGCUCUCGGGUGACGAGCGGCGGACGGGUGAGUAAUGUCUGGGAAACUGCCUGAUGGAGGGGGAUAACUACUGGAAACGGUAGCUAAUACCGCAUAAUGUCGCAAGACCAAAGUGGGGGACCUUCGGGCCUCAUGCCAUCAGAUGUGCCCAGAUGGGAUUAGCUAGUAGGUGGGGUAACGGCUCACCUAGGCGACGAUCCCUAGCUGGUCUGAGAGGAUGACCAGCCACACUGGAACUGAGACACGGUCCAGACUCCUACGGGAGGCAGCAGUGGGGAAUAUUGCACAAUGGGCGCAAGCCUGAUGCAGCCAUGCCGCGUGUGUGAAGAAGGCCUUCGGGUUGUAAAGCACUUUCAGCGGGGAGGAAGGCGGUGAGGUUAAUAACCUCGUCGAUUGACGUUACCCGCAGAAGAAGCACCGGCUAACUCCGUGCCAGCAGCCGCGGUAAUACGGAGGGUGCAAGCGUUAAUCGGAAUUACUGGGCGUAAAGCGCACGCAGGCGGUCUGUCAAGUCGGAUGUGAAAUCCCCGGGCUCAACCUGGGAACUGCAUUCGAAACUGGCAGGCUAGAGUCUUGUAGAGGGGGGUAGAAUUCCAGGUGUAGCGGUGAAAUGCGUAGAGAUCUGGAGGAAUACCGGUGGCGAAGGCGGCCCCCUGGACAAAGACUGACGCUCAGGUGCGAAAGCGUGNGGAGCAAACAGGAUUAGAUACCCUGGUAGUCCACGCCGUAAACGAUGUCGAUUUGGAGGUUGUGCCCUUGAGGCGUGGCUUCCGGAGCUAACGCGUUAAAUCGACCGCCUGGGGAGUACGGCC
RNAcentral lists this ribosomal RNA (836 nucleotides) under Klebsiella sp. HGA0192. RNAcentral describes it as "bacterial SSU rRNA". It matches the Rfam family "Bacterial small subunit ribosomal RNA", at positions 60 to 887 of the family's 1533-position model. The record is from RNAcentral. Lineage: Bacteria; Pseudomonadati; Pseudomonadota; Gammaproteobacteria; Enterobacterales; Enterobacteriaceae.